GACGAACGCUGGCGGCGUGCUUAACACAUGCAAGUCGAACGGAAAGGCCCUGCUCUUGUGGGGUGCUCGGGUGGCGAACGGGUGAGUAACACGAGAGUAACCUGCCCUUGACUUUGGGAUAACUUCAGGGAACUGGGGCUAAUACCGGAUAGGAGCUCCUGCUGCAUGGUGGGGGUUGGAAAGUUUCGGCGGUUGGGGAUGGACUCGCGGCUUAUCAGCCUGUUGGUGGGGUAGUGGCUUACCAAGGCUUUGACGGGUAGCCGGCCUGAGAGGGUGACCGGCCACAUUGGGACUGAGAUACGGCGCAGACGCCUACGGGAGGCAGCAGUGGGGAAUAGUGUACAAUGGGCGGAAGCCGGAUGCAGCAACGCCGCGUGCGGGAUGACGGCCUUCGGGUUGUAAACCGCUUUCGCCUGUGACGAAGCGUGAGUGACGGUAAUGGGUAAAGAAGCACCGGCUAACUACGUG
Molecule: ribosomal RNA, 468 nt
Filed under: uncultured bacterium
Lineage: Bacteria
Description: partial 16S ribosomal RNA
Rfam family: Bacterial small subunit ribosomal RNA
Source: RNAcentral